AUCCAGCUAAGUUCUUGGUGUGAUCUUUUAGUUAAUACAUAAAACUGAUCAUUCUGUGGUUCAGAGACCUUGCUUACCAGUUUGUGCAAGAACACACUAGGAGAGAUGGAAGAAAAUGAGGUGGAGGCAUGUUUUUCAAGCCUCCUGCAUCAAAAAGCAAAGGGAGAGUUUAAAACUAGAGAUUCCUGGGCUGCACCUUUGGAAACUGAUUUAACUGAUUGAGAAGGGGAGGGCCUGAAUCUGGGUUUUAAAAGCUUCCCGGGUGAUUGUGAUGUGCUGCAGUUUUGGAAACCAUCGGGAAAUGUAGGAGCUGAGGUGAAAGUUACUCUUCUUUCAAAUCAGUCAGUAGUCAUUGUAGCUGUUCUUUUCUCUGGGGGAGAUCACUCUGACAGUAGCAAAAACGCUCACCUGUCAGAAUUCCCACAGAUAGUGCAGAUUUGGGCCUCAAAUCCCCAAACUGUGGAAGUUAAUUAAUGUGGAAGAGAUGAAGAAACAAGAAAAGUUCAUCUGAUGGGCUUUAGGAUUCCCCUCCCCUCCCAUAUGGCUUCUCAGUAGCACCAGUGCUAUGAAGAUGCGCCAUCAGGGCUUCCUAUACACCCAAGCACUAACCUGAUGGAUUUCUCAAGUUGGAGUCAACUUGAGUUGGAUGGAUUUCUCCAAACCCAGAACACUCAUUCCCAGGCGAGAGCACAGCCUCACCCAUGUGAGGCUGAUUUGCAAGUGACUCAGGAAGGAGGAAAGCUGAAUGAAGGGCAGUCAUUUUGCUGAGAAGAGUGGCAGCAGAGACGCUGGGGUUCUGGGCAUGCAGCGUCCUGCACAAGUUGCUGCUGUGAACUGGAAAGUCAGAUUCCUGGCGGCUGUGCUUGGUGACACAACAGCAGGCUGUUCUCUUGUGCAAGUCUGCACGCUGGACCUGGGAGCUCAGCACGGAGCUUGCUUCUCUCGCU
This 947-nucleotide long non-coding RNA is filed under the name Equus asinus (donkey). Its description in RNAcentral is "lncRNA (ENSEASG00005026006.1)". Lineage: Eukaryota; Metazoa; Chordata; Mammalia; Perissodactyla; Equidae. The record is from RNAcentral.